RNAcentral lists this ribosomal RNA (603 nucleotides) under Triticum aestivum (bread wheat). RNAcentral's name for it is "partial small subunit ribosomal RNA". Lineage: Eukaryota; Viridiplantae; Streptophyta; Magnoliopsida; Poales; Poaceae. The record is from RNAcentral.
AUGUCUAAGCAAAGAAGGCAGGGCGAGGAGGAUGAGCCCAACUACUACCGCGACCGCAGCGGCAACAAGGAGAAGAGCCUCUAUCUGUUCGCAGCCCUGGGCAGCAACAUCAUCGCCACGAGCAACAUACACGCCGGAACCCUCUUCUACGACACUGACACCACCGGACUGCCCGUCGGCCCUCCCGUUCGAGACGCACUGCUUUGUGGCUCCAACACCUUCCUGACCUCCGGCGCCGGCGACGCGCUGUACGUGUUCGCCUUCCACUUCAUGGAGCGGUAUGUGUCCUUCCAGGCGAUGGCGAAGCCACCGACGACGGAAGACGACGACCUGCUGCCCACCUACUGGUCCUGGAAAAGCAUGCCGACGCCCUUCACCAAGGACGAGAUGAUCUUCUCCUACGCGCUGCACCCGGACGGGCGCACCAUAUUCGUGUCCUCGUGGAGCAGGGCGGUCUGCGGCACGUACUCCGUCGACACCAGGAGCUGCAAGUGGAGGCGCCAUGGGGAGUGGAUGCUGCCUUUCAGAGGCCGAGGCUCCUUCGCCGCCGAGCUAGACGCAUGGGUCGGGCUGCACGAGGACGGCUACGUCUGCCCCUGCUAG